This is a long non-coding RNA of Triticum aestivum (bread wheat), 1853 nucleotides long. RefSeq lists it as uncharacterized. Lineage: Eukaryota; Viridiplantae; Streptophyta; Magnoliopsida; Poales; Poaceae. The record is from RefSeq and is a predicted model, not a curated record. The transcript is spliced from 3 exons.
ACAAAAAAGAGUUGCCACAACCCCGCUGAUUUUGUGAUUCCUUUCUCCGCUGAUUUGGUGAUUCCUUUCUCACAAGCUUCGUGACCACAAAGUUGCCGCCACAAACCUCCGACUCCGGCUAGAUCCAGUGCUCUUCUGCGCCGCCGCUCACCAGCCCAUUCCCCCUUACUGUUUUCCUCUGUUCCUUUGUCGCGGGCUUGCGGCGAGUUCCUCCGCGCCGCCGCCCAACCUCCCGGCUCCUCUUUACUGCUUUCCUCCGAUCCCCAGUCGCCGCGACGUCCUCCGCUCCCCUGCGCACCCGCUCAUGGUCUCAGGAACCACUCACUGCUCUCGUCCAAUCCAUUGCUACGGCGACGCCAUCCACGCCCCUGUACGCGCCCCCGCAGGAACCCUAGCCGCCAUGGUGGCUAGCGCGUCUCCCAUGCCUCCUCUCGUUUGUUUGCCCACUACCCUGCGUAUCCGCGCGCGCGGCUGCCGGCUCGGGCUAUACUGUGUUGUUCCACAUCGAGUCCUCGACUACCUCGACUGACGCCAGACGGUUCAGUAAGGCCCUCCUCCUUCGAAUAUUGUUUGUACAAUGACGAGAUAAUGGGAACUAUCCCGGAUCAAACAAAUCGAGCACUUCUUUCAUUUUUCUAAUAGAUUUGUUCAACAUAUAUUUGACAAAUUUACCCUGUUUCGUAAAGAUUAUAUAACACAGUAAGUUUCAUGGAGGAAGUUCACAUUCCAAUGGGUUUUAUCUACAGGCUGCAGAGACAACAACGCUUCUGUGGUUACAGGCUCAAAAUUCCCACCUAUAAGAUCCCCUGUGUUAUUACUAUAUCUGAUACCUUUAUGUUGCACCAGAGAUCUUCUCUAAUAGCAGCCAAUUACAACAAUUUGCAGUAAGUCAUAAAUGUAACAUCUAGAAGCAUGUUGUCACCCCAGUUUUAGAUGUUCAUAGGCGGACUUUUUUCUUCUGUGGUUGAGCGAUUCACCAUUUGUAUGUACUCUGUACCUGUUCAUUCAGGAAUAUUUUUUUACCUUUUCAUUAAUAGUUCUUUCUUGUGAUGCAUUAGGCUCUAAUUUUCUUGAUUCUACGUGCAUGGAUAAUUGUCCAGUAUUUUUGUGAGGAGGAUCUUGGUAGAUUAGUUAAAUAAGUCGACAGUAUCUCCAAAUAUCCUAGUUAAUAGCCUAUGACCAUGUCAUAAAAGAACAUUUCUUCAAGUAUCAGUUAAUAGGCAAGUACUAUUAUCUAUAACAUCAUGAUUUUCAAGAGGCAAAAAAAUCUCAUUAGCUUUAUCAAUCCUUACUGAUUUCUGUUACACGCUUCUGUAGUACUAUAGGAAUAAGCCCACAUGCAUCUCUUUGUCCUAACAUUUCUUUUUAUUGUAUAAUCUUUAGUUUCAUCUUCCCUCGCAGGUUCUGAAGUUGACUAUGUGCUUCAGCCAACACGUGUUUGUUUGUUCUUUAUCUUAACAGUUUCUGGUCUGAACGAGUGGUGGAUAUUCAGAACUUGUGCAAGUCGCAACUGAGAGAAUAGAAUGUUGUCAGUUUACAGAAAUGUUCAAGACUUCAAGUCUCUGUGUUUGUACUUCCUAGCAUGGUGAUGUCCCUUCUGCUGGUGUUUAUUAUGAUGAUUCAUAUAGCUGCCAAGAUAUAUUCAAGAUGCACGGACAUUGAUUGCAAGGUCAAGAAUGGCAAUUUUACUAGAUAAUUAGAAUGUCAUUUUGAAGUGUAAUGUUUCAAACAGUAAGCUAACUGAAUGAUCAAGAAUUAGGCUAGUACUAGAUGGUUUCAGAUAUGUAAUGCUUGUAUCGUGUUCUUUGUAAUGCAAUACAUCAUGUUUAAUAUAUUAUGGGGAUUCCUGCUUA